This is a non-coding RNA of Ceratotherium simum simum (southern white rhinoceros), 2605 nucleotides long. The record is from RefSeq and is a predicted model, not a curated record. NCBI's taxonomy places the organism in Eukaryota, Metazoa, Chordata, Mammalia, Perissodactyla, Rhinocerotidae.
CUCUUUCAGUCUCACGUGGCAACAAAAACAACUUGUAUAUCCUCACAAGUAUCUGAUGAUGAACAUAGACAAAAAAGAGAAAAUAUUCGUUCUUUAACUAUGUCUGGCCAUGUUGGUUUUGAGAGUUUGCCUGAUCAGCUGGUCAAUAGAUCCGUUCAGCAAGGCUUCUGUUUUAAUAUUCUCUGUGUGGGGGAGACUGGAAUUGGAAAAUCAACGUUGAUUGAUACAUUGUUUAAUACUAAUUUUGAAGACCAUGAAUCCUCACAUUUUUACCCACAUGUUAAACUUAAAGCUCAGACAUAUGAACUCCAGGAAAGUAAUGUUCGAUUAAAAUUGACCAUUGUGAAUACAGUGGGAUUUGGUGACCAAAUAAACAAAGAAGAGAGCUACCAACCAGUAGUUGACUACAUAGAUGCUCAGUUUGAGGCCUAUCUCCAAGAAGAACUGAAGAUUAAGCGUUCUCUCUUUAACUACCAUGACUCUCGUAUCCAUGUGUGCCUCUACUUCAUCUCACCAACAGGCCACUCUCUGAAGACACUUGAUCUCUUAACCAUGAAGAGCCUUGACAGCAAAGUGAACAUUAUACCAGUGAUUGCCAAAGCAGAUGCAGUUUCUAAAACUGAAUUACAGAAGUUUAAGAUCAAGCUCAUGAGUGAAUUGGUCAGCAAUGGUGUCCAGAUAUACCAGUUCCCAACAGAUGAUGAAACUAUUGCUAAAAUCAAUGCCUCAAUGAAUGGACAUUUGCCGUUUGCUGUGGUAGGAAGUAUGGAUGAGGUAAAAGUUGGAAAUAAGAUGGUCAAAGCUCGCCAGUACCCUUGGGGUGUUGUACAAGUGGAAAAUGAAAACCAUUGUGACUUUGUAAAGCUCCGGGAAAUGCUCAUUUGUACAAACAUGGAGGAUCUGCGAGAACAGACCCACACAAGGCACUAUGAACUUUACAGGCGUUGCAAACUGGAGGAAAUGGGCUUUACAGAUGUGGGCCCAGAGAAUAAGCCACUCAGUCUUCAAGAGACCUACGAAGCCAAAAGACAUGAAUUUUAUGGUGAACGUCAGAGGAAGGAAGAAGAAAUGAAGCAGAUGUUUGUGCAGCGAGUAAAGGAGAAAGAAGCCAUACUGAAAGAAGCUGAAAGAGAGCUACAGGCCAAAUUUGAGCACCUUAAACGAGUUCACCAAGAAGAGAGAAUGAAGCUUGAAGAAAAGAGAAGACUUUUGGAAGAAGAAAUAAUUGCUUUCUCCAAAAAGAAAGCUACCUCCGAGAUAUACCAGAACCAGAGCUUUAUGGCAUCCGGCAGCAACCUGAAGAGGGACAAGGACCGUAAGAAGGAACCAGGCUAUCGAUUCGAACUCCUGUGCUUUGAUGUCAGAGCUUGUGAAACGAGUGGUGGACGUAAAGAUGCAGAGGAAGGUAGAGAGGGCCCCAGUACAAUGGGGCGGCCAUGAGUAGCGUUUGGAUGAUAAUCUCAAGGCUUAUAGGUGUGGGGUAUGUGUUAAAAUCAAAGUUACCAAAGUUUUAGAAAAUAAGUUUUUUUCCCUCUUCUGUACUUCUUGUGCUUCAUUUUAUUUCUUCCACUUAAAAUGUCCUUGUCAGCUUGCCUAUUUGACUGUUCUUGAAAUUCAUUGUUGACUUGUUCUAUCAAGAAUGCUCCUUUGUGGGUCUUUGCCUCAGUUUACUCCAACUACCUGUGCUUUAGCAGCAUCCAAUCCUCCUUAUGUUCCUCAUGGAGCAACACUUCUAAUUUAAUUUUAUCACCACAUUUUAUUUCAAAUGUAGCAUUUUCAGAUAUUGUUAAUUCAACUUCAAAAUAGUUAGGAAAAUUUGAACCAAGGAGAAGUAAAUCCACAGAGUUUGGGUGGAUUUAGUUGGCCUGUGAAUUUUAUAGUUUUGGGGGAAGAAAGAAGGAAUUUUCAUGUAUGAUCUUUUAAUGUAAUCUCUACAAGGGCGUGGAUCUUUGUUUUGUUCCUUGACGUAUCCACCCCCAGCUCCUAGAACAGUGCCUGGUGCUUAGUAGGCAUGCAAUCAUUUGUCGAAAGAAUGAAUACAAUUCAUAAAAGCUAUGUUUUAUUCAAGCACUGAUUUUCAAAAAGUAAACUAAAAAUAUAAUUUAUUACUGCUUUUCAAUAUUCUUUGAAUUAUAAAGCUAAGGGAACUUUUACCUUCUUAUCCUUUCAUCUUAAUGCAGUGUUACUAAAAUUGGAUUCCCCAAUUUUAUUCCAUAAACGAAAGACAAUUUACCUUGUAAAAACUGUCACCCUGUUCCACUUGAGAAUCAUUAGUAUGUGCUGUUGUUUACAAAAUCACGACCAAGCCCAUAGUUUUUUGAGAGCUCAGAAUUAAUUAAUUCUCAAGAAAACAGUUUGGUGUUUUUUUGUUUUUUCUUUUCUAAAAUCCCAUAGCUAAAUAUCCUAUAGUAUAUUAGAUGUAUAUUUGCUCUUUCUAUAAAAGCUUUGUAAAACUAAUGAUUCUAGUAAUUUUUAUUUCAUAUAUGAUUUUCUGUUGUACCAAUCAGAAGUUUUUUCUCUUUCCAGCUCCAAUUUUAUGUAAAACAAAGGUUCCAGAUCACAGAAAGUCAUCACAAGCAAAAGUUAUUAAAAUGUUAGAAGUGUG